GGCCGGUGGCCAUGCCCUCCACUCCCACAAACCAUUAAGUUAGGGGAAAGGCAUUUUUCUGGGGGAAAAACAAUGUGAGAUGUAAAAGGUAAGACUUCUCUGGAAGACUCUCUACUUAUCUUGCAGACUAAUUUCCCUGCCUGUUGAUAACGUCCGGGCUCUCGUACAACUGCGUGCGAGGGGCUAAAUUACAUUUUCGCUUUUCGGAACGAAUGUGCAGAAGUGGCCUGGCGCACUCGAAAUUGGAGUCUCACCUCGUCCCCCCAGCUACCUGUUUAUUAGCUCUUUCCUCCGGACCCCGAUCACCUACCUACAGGACACCUCGUAAAAAGCUACUUGGGCAUCAUAGGAACAAGGAUUUGGACCGUUCUUUGUGGAAUGGGUUUGACGAUUCCGUCUCAAGGGAUUAAAUCCAUCUGUCACAAAUGACUGAUAACUGAAGUUUAAAAUGCACUUACCUGACAAAGCCUCAAUAGCUUUUAUGGCCCAGUUUUGGUCGGGGAAAUCCACGAAGGCAUAGCCGGAUUUGAGCAGAACCUGCUCGGUCAGAGGGAGCUUCCUCUCGUCAAAGAGCUGCUUCAAGUCCUCGACGGUGACCGAGGGGCUCAGAUUCCCAAUGUAUAGUUUGUUCAUGAUCCUAAUGGAAAUCUCGAUGUGCACAUAAAAUCGGGAUAUAAAAAUACAAAUGGAAAUCUAAAAAUAAAAUUUAAAACAAAACGGAAAAACUGCAAAAAGCAGUGAUCACCCCCCAAAUCCAGUCGACCCCCGGCUCCAACUCUGCUCCUGGUCAAACACUUUUGACUGGGGUGGGAAAAAAGUGUCGCUGCGACGCUACUCUGGAUCCUACAAGCACCGCCUCUAAAUAAAAUCUGCCUUAAAAUGUCAGAAAAUUUGUUUGCAGCCAGAACGUGUUUGCGAACCACAGCAUCCGUGUUGAGAACGAACUGACAUGUAGGUGCCAAGUGGCACGAAGAUCACCCACCGGGAAAUGAAUUGGGUGGGUUAUGGGGUCAGUCAGGUCGUUCAUUCAAACCCUUCAUAAUACCAGUAGUGUAGUGCGAAUGGUUUGCUACUUGAAAGAAACACAAGAAAUCGUUAGCUACGUCGAGCUAAGUCUAAACGCAUGGUGGUCACAAUACUGGAUAAAUGAAGAAGGAUCAAAUGGAAACAUCUGCCCCACCCUCAAAGUACACAUACGGUUGCUUGUGAGUAGGCUAUUAACUGUAUGCGAACAUUUACGUUAAGAAGGUACAAAGAAAAUGUGAUAUCGACAAUUGCAGUAACGCCAACCGUUUCUGGUAAUUGCCAAUGACAAUAUACACGCUGAGCUAGGGGCGUGCUGGAUUUCUGUUUGCGCACAACGCGCACUCGUUUAUUAUUGGUCCAGGUGUGUCACAUGGGGCAUCUAGCCCUAAAAGAGGAGAGUGCAGAUUGUGUGCGAAGAGAAAUGUAACACGCCGAAGUUCAGAGCGGAGACUCGGCCCAAGGAAAGAAUCACUUUAUUGGUGAUGGCCUCUCGAGCUCUUGUUGAUGUAUCUUUGUCUCCGUAUCUUUCGGGCGUUUUCAAGACCAGAUUAAUUGACAAUAAAGAACACCGAUUCAUUGUUGUUAAAUAAUGAAUUCACGGCGGAUCUUUUCACGACGGUGGCAGGAAAUGGAGUGUGGGGUUCUGAUGGAAAGUAACAAAUACGCCGUACAACGGGUAAGGCGCUGGAGGGGCCAAGCCUUAAUAUUUAUAGGAUGGUACAUUGAAUGUGAAUCAUUUUUAAAAGUGUACGGACAUAUAACAUUGUUUUAUGCAAACUCCCACUGACUCUUAUCAUGAUUUACAUAUGUAAUAAACAUAAACCGUAGCAAAAACUACAGUCAAACAUCAUUUGAGUGUAGUCAGAUAGAAAUAGGAUUGAAAUAAGUACAAAUGAACAUUACCAAAAUAGCAGAAAAACACAGAUGCAGUAUGUUUUUUUAAAAAUGACUAUCAAAUGAAUUAAUGUCUUACAACUCUCAGUAAAAUAAAUGUGGUAAAUAUCAUCUUAGGUCUGGGAGUUGAUUGUGGACCUUUAAAGAACAGAUAUGUAAUUUCAAAUAAGAUUUUGGACCUUCAGAUAAUUUCAAAAGUUAAAACAUUUUUGAUAUAACAAAUCCUGGCCAUGCCAGUACUCUUGAGUCAGUUACGACCACAAGUCAGAGAUCGUGGAGAAUUGUUGGGAUAGACAGAAUUAGCCAGUUGCAGUUUCUCAUAUGCUAUUGUUCCACAGCAACUACACAGGUCUGGUCUUCAUUGCAGAGUUGUAAGAAAUACAUUUUCACAGAAGUCAGAGCAUAAAAGGCGUAAGUACAGAUUUGUCAAACUGAAUCUUAAUGGCACUCAUUUUGUGAGAAGCUGAAAGAGCUUUGGAGACGUUUAUCAGCAGGGUGCUUGGCAAAAAGGUGAAGGUCAUUUUGAGAAGAACGUCACACCCUAUGUUAAAUAUGGAGGUGUGGAAGACAAAAUGAAUGUUCUUGACAGGCAUAUCCAUAUAAAAACCUCAAUCCAAACAGAUUUCUGAAAGAUUUUCACGAGCAAGAACCAAAAGUUUCAGAACAAUAGUGCUGAAAUAGUUCUUCUUGAGAUGGUGGAACAUCGAAAGACUUGAGGAAAUGUCCUUUUUUUGGCUGGACCACAGACAGCAUGGCCAGCCCUACAAACGCGAAUGUCUGUGACUGAGUGCUUUUUGGGCAUCUACACAGAGACGGGCUCAAAAUCAAAGAGGGCGGUCUAAAACCAGAGAGUUUGCAUUUUUCUGAGAAAACUGAUAGAUUAUUAUUAUGAGUAGUUGUCAGUGUGGACAUAAGUUUCUGACUGGACUGUAUACUAUGCUUAUAUUUCAGGAUUUAUGGCUGUAUUGUUAUUUAUUCAUUCCCUCUCCACCUUAGCUGAUGUGUGGUGAACGUUCAGGUGCUAAAUCGCUGCCCUGCAUCACUCAGGUGGGUGCUACACACUGGUGGUGUUUGACGUCUUUUUUCCCCCUUAUCACUGUAUAGCACUUUUAGCAUCUGGGAAAGUAUGAUAAAAAUGCAGUGUUCUUUCAUUCA
Long non-coding RNA from Anguilla anguilla (European eel), 3075 nucleotides. RefSeq lists it as uncharacterized. The transcript is spliced from 3 exons. Lineage: Eukaryota; Metazoa; Chordata; Actinopteri; Anguilliformes; Anguillidae. The record is from RefSeq and is a predicted model, not a curated record.